AGAAGGCUUUGGGAAGAGUAGAAGUUUCUGUUCUUGAAUUCUACUCUUCACCAGCUGUGCGACCAUGGAGAAUUUACUUCACUUCUCAGAUCGUUGGCCUUCUCCUCUAUAAAACGGGGAACCAAUUGAGACUUAACUGAUGGUGAAAAAUAUACAGUCAAGUGUGUUUACUUCACCUUUACAAAGAAUCCGUUACAGUCCCAAUUAAUUUGUUAUUCCUGUCACAACAGGAAGCUGCAGCUAUGCUGACAUAAUCAAACUGUGAUGAUCAGAAUGUUCGAUGCCCACUCCCUGGCAUGGCAUGUGCCUGAGGAUAAAGGAUGCUGUGAGGCUGUGGGAGGGCACACAAGAAUCAGACUGCCUUGGUUUACUCCUCAGCUCCUCUUCUGGCUUGAAUUUGAA
Molecule: long non-coding RNA, 402 nt
Organism: Microcebus murinus (gray mouse lemur)
Lineage: Eukaryota; Metazoa; Chordata; Mammalia; Primates; Cheirogaleidae
Source: RefSeq, a predicted model, not a curated record